UCAAAGGUGUUUUUUAAAACCACAAAUACAUAAAAUCACAUAACUG
Molecule: non-coding RNA, 46 nt
Organism: Callithrix jacchus (white-tufted-ear marmoset)
Lineage: Eukaryota; Metazoa; Chordata; Mammalia; Primates; Cebidae
Source: Rfam